RNAcentral lists this ribosomal RNA (252 nucleotides) under uncultured bacterium. RNAcentral describes it as "partial 16S ribosomal RNA". It matches the Rfam family "Bacterial small subunit ribosomal RNA", at positions 524 to 776 of the family's 1533-position model. The record is from RNAcentral.
GACGUAGGGUGCAAGCGUUGUCCGGAUUUAUUGGGCGUAAAGAGCGUGUAGGCGGCUUGGUAGGUCUCGCGUCAAAACCUGAGGCUCAACCUCAGUUCGCGUGGGAAACCACCUAGCUAGAGUCCGGAAGAGGAGAACGGAAUUCCCAGUGUAGCGGUGAAAUGCGCAGAUAUUGGGAAGAACACCAGUGGCGAAGGCGGUUCUCUGGGACGGUACUGACGCUGAGACGCGAAAGCGUGGGGAGCGAACAGG